This 217-nucleotide long non-coding RNA is filed under the name Panax ginseng (ginseng). RNAcentral's name for it is "long non-coding RNA (PGIN_LNC012045)". Lineage: Eukaryota; Viridiplantae; Streptophyta; Magnoliopsida; Apiales; Araliaceae. The record is from RNAcentral.
GGAGACAGAGGAGUACUUUUCUGAGGAAUACUACUCUGAGGGAGAGAUGGAUAUAAUGUCAUACCUAAGUAUGAUGAAUGAUGGGAAGGAAAAAAGAGAGGUAACAUCGAUAACUACGGUGGUACCAACACUUGAGUCAUCACCUCCAGAUGCAAUGGAAGCAUUGUAUCUGGCAGCGCUUGACAGGAAUGUGCAAUUGGGUACAGUUGUACAGAAU